CAUGGCUCAGGACGAACGCUGGCGGCGUGCUUAACACAUGCAAGUCGAACGUGAUUUUUAUGGAAGAACCUUCGGGGACGGAAGUAAAAUGAAAGUGGCGAACGGGUGAGUAACACGUGAGCAACCUACCUUACACAGGGGGAUAGCCGUUGGAAACGACGAUUAAUACCGCAUGAGACCACAAUACUGCAUGGUAUAGGGGUCAAAGAUUUAUCGGUGUAAGAUGGGCUCGCGUCUGAUUAGCUAGUUGGAAGGGUAAAGGCCUACCAAGGCGACGAUCAGUAGCCGGUCUGAGAGGAUGAACGGCCACACUGGAACUGAGACACGGUCCAGACUCCUACGG
This 343-nucleotide ribosomal RNA is filed under the name uncultured bacterium. Its description in RNAcentral is "bacterial SSU rRNA". It matches the Rfam family "Bacterial small subunit ribosomal RNA", at positions 18 to 344 of the family's 1533-position model. The record is from RNAcentral.